This 1381-nucleotide long non-coding RNA is filed under the name Salvia miltiorrhiza (redroot sage). Its description in RNAcentral is "long non-coding RNA (SMIL_LNC010338)". Lineage: Eukaryota; Viridiplantae; Streptophyta; Magnoliopsida; Lamiales; Lamiaceae. The record is from RNAcentral.
UUAACUUUUAUUUACGCUGCUGAUUUCUUUCACCAGGAUUUGGUUAAUCUUUGGCCGUAGAGGCAGAUUUUCGCUGGGUCUGUUGCUCAAUUUAGCAUUACUAAUGUUUCUUUGAUAAUUAUUACUAAUAUUUUUCUUUUGGAAUUUGUACUUGAGGGUGGGAAUCUGAAUAACAGAGCAUGAAGCUGGUACCGCAAGACGUAUGUAAUUCUUCCCCCAAAGGGGUCCAACAAGCCAUCGGGAUCCGAGGUUGGAAAUUUGGGAAUCACGAAAAUAGAGCCCUGAAGGCCAAUGAGUUUGGACAUUCUGAGAUUAAUUUAUAGCUAAGUUACAGUUUCUCAAAUUCCUUUGAUGCUAUGUUUAACGUUUAUUGUUUGUGGGUCAUGUACAUUGUGGAAGACGGCAUAGAAUGGCAUGUUUCUAUUGAACACUCUUACUUAAUUUGUGGAGCGCUUGCUGUUGGGAGUUAUUUUGAAUUGCUGAAGAUUUCCUGAAUAUAUACUAUGAUCUCAUAACUACCCGGUCAUAUGCUUAUAGAUUGUUUCGAGCUUGGUUAAGAGAAAAUAAUUAUGUGGAGAUGCUCUCAUUCGUUUGACUAUACUUUGUAUUUUGGGUACUUUAGAAUUUGUUUAGUCUCCUAGGACAUGAGCUUAACUUUGUUCCUGGCAGAUCGUGCUAUUGAACUAUGCCUGUGAUUUGUUCCUUUACUCAAUGUAUGGCUUGCUAUGUCAGUAGUAUGAAAUUCUCAAUUCCAUCCCCUGAAUCUCUAAGAAUCGAAGCAUGUUGUGUUAGGGGUUUCAUUUAAUUCUUGAGUUGAUAAAACUGAUGAUCUACUAAACUUGUUUGCAUGAUUGUUGGAAUAAGAUCAAUGAUGAUUGGGAGGUAAGCACAGUCAUGAAUCAAAAUUUAGGAAUGCUACGGGAACAUCUUGAGAGCCAUGGCUCAGCCUAAUUUGUUGGGAAGUGCAUCCAUUUGUCAGUGUUUUUCAAUUUAUUUUCAUAUUGGAUUUAAUUCUAUAACAUCAAUCGCUUGCUUUGCUUGUAAUCUCUCUUUUCGUUGUUUGAUUUUUGUGCAAGGAAUAUCAAGCAAAACUCGAGUGCUUAAGAGAAUUAUUAAGGGAGCCUGGUGAGAUUCUAUCGAAGACCUGGUUUCUAGUCGCUAGCUACUGUUGAUUCGGCAAGAAUCUUGAGACUAUCAAGACGAUUGGGCCGAUUGGGAAGAUGUCAAGUGGAGUCAUCAGCCUAGGAUUCAACAUGCGAUGUGAUGCUACGUGGCUUGUUUUAUUACAAGGCUGCGCAGGGAGGGAGAGGGCGGUUCACCAACUGCGCUGAUGUAGUACGUUGAAGCAGCGCAGGUAGGGAGAGGUGUAGUUCAUCAGCUC